UAUCUCUGUAGAGUCUGCAUAUCAAUAAGCGGAGGAAAAGAAACUAACAAGGAUUCCCUUAGUAACGGCGAGUGAAGCGGGAAGAGCUCAAAUUUGAAAUCUUCAAGGUUCUACCUUGACGAAUUGUAGUUUAAAGAAGUGUUUUCUGUCAGAUGAGUAGUAAAAGUUCCUUGGAAUAGGACAUCAUAGAGGGUGAGAAUCCCGUAUUUGGACUAUUCAUUUCUAGCUUUGUGAUACACUUUCAAAGAGUCGGAUUGUUUGGGAAUGCAGUCCAAAAUGGGUGGUAAAUUUCAUCUAAAGCUAAAUAUUGGCGAGAGACCGAUAGCGAACAAGUACCGUGAGGGAAAGAUGAAAAGAACUUUGAAAAGAGAGUUAAACAGUACGUGAAAUUGUCAAAAGGGAAGCGUUUGACACCAGUGUUGUUUUUCCGAAAAUCAAUUACGAAUGGCUUGAUUUUGUGUUGUAUUGACCUUAUCAGCUUUCUGCACUUUUUUCGAGUCUUUCUUAAUGCACUUUUCGGUUAACAAGUCAACAUCAAUUCUUUUGUUGUAAAAGAGUAUUCGGAAGGUGGCUUUCUUUUCGGAGAAAGUGUUUAUAGCCCUAUACUUCUACAAUCGGAGAGAUUGAGGUCUGCAGCGUAGAUCCUUCGGGGUUAGAUACAUUUGUGCUAAGUUGUAGCUUUUCAUAGUCAACUUGUUGACUAUGUUUAGUCAUGCGGCUUACUCGCUUAUGCUAUUUUACCUACGCUUAGGAUGUUGACUGAUAUGUAGUCGUA
This 775-nucleotide ribosomal RNA is filed under the name uncultured Neocallimastigales. RNAcentral's name for it is "partial large subunit ribosomal RNA". It matches the Rfam family "Eukaryotic large subunit ribosomal RNA", at positions 24 to 644 of the family's 3401-position model. Lineage: Eukaryota; Fungi; Neocallimastigomycota; Neocallimastigomycetes; Neocallimastigales. The record is from RNAcentral.